CAGUAGCCGCGGGAAUACAGAGGGUGCGAGCGUUAAUCGGAUUUACUGGGCGUAAAGCGUGCGUAGGCGGCUUUUUAAGUCGGAUGUGAAAUCCCUGAGCUUAACUUAGGAAUUGCAUUCGAUACUGGGAAGCUAGAGUAUGGGAGAGGAUGGUAGAAUUCCAGGUGUAGCGGUGAAAUGCGUAGAGAUCUGGAGGAAUACCGAUGGCGAAGGCAGCCAUCUGGCCUAAUACUGACGCUGAGGUACGAAAGCAUGGGGAGCAAACAGGAUUAGAUACCCGAGUAGUCCCUGUCUUCUUAUU
Molecule: ribosomal RNA, 301 nt
Filed under: uncultured bacterium
Lineage: Bacteria
Description: partial 16S ribosomal RNA
Rfam family: Bacterial small subunit ribosomal RNA
Source: RNAcentral